This 585-nucleotide ribosomal RNA is filed under the name fungal endophyte. RNAcentral describes it as "eukaryotic LSU rRNA". The stretch from base 182 to 335 matches the Rfam family "5.8S ribosomal RNA". The record is from RNAcentral. Lineage: Eukaryota; Fungi.
CAUUAAAGAGUUCUAUAACUCCCAAACCCAUGUGAACAUACCUAACGUUGCCUCGGCAGGUCGCACCUACCUUGUAGCACCCUACCCUGUAGGGCCUACCCGGGAGGUGCGGGUAAGCCUGCCGGCGGCCCACCAAACUCUGUUUGAUAUUGAAUUCUGAACCUAUAACUAAAUAAGUUAAAACUUUCAACAACGGAUCUCUUGGUUCUGGCAUCGAUGAAGAACGCAGCGAAAUGCGAUAAGUAAUGUGAAUUGCAGAAUUCAGUGAAUCAUCGAAUCUUUGAACGCAUAUUGCGCCCAUUAGUAUUCUAGUGGGCAGGACCGUUCGAGCGUCAUUUCAACCCUUAAGCCUUCGUUGCUUAGUGUUGGGAGCCUACGGCAACGUAGCUCCUCAAAGUUAGUGGCGGAGUUGGUUCACACUCUAGACGUAGUAAUUUUUUAUCUCGCCUAUUAGUUGGACUAAUCCCCUGCCGUAAAACCCCCAAUUUAUCAAGGUUGACCUCGAAUCGGUUCAGACAAACUCGCUAAAUUGAAGCAUCUUAGUCAGCGAAGGAAAAGAAACCAACAGGGAUUGCCCUAGUAACG